AUGCCGAGGUAUCAGUGAUUUUUUUUAUAGAAAAUUUUUUUUCACAUAGCAAUAUAGCUUUUAUUAUUGUUUAGUUCAUUGAAAAUAGGAAAAGUUAACCGUAUCCGCAUCAUAUUGAAAACACGAAUUGAAACCAAGGAAACAAGAAAUUCAUUUUGAAGCUCAACAUAAGAUCUGUUCGGACGUGUUCUCAGAUCUUCUAUUUCAGAAAACUUGCUUUAUUAAAUGCUUAUCAUUCGAAUUGCACUAGGUGCAUUUUAUGAAAAUUCCAGGAAAGGUUCAUAAAUCUGGGAUACUAACUUAUUAAGGCGUUCUUAAUCAAUGCAAAAAGAAGCAGAUUAACUGAAAUAUUUAUAAUUCGUACUUGUGCAUAUCUUCUAGAAUCAUUUUCUUGAUUUUUGUGAAGAUUUUGACAAAGAAUUACAGAAAUAUUCAGAACCUGCUUUCUUCAGUUUUCUGAUAAAAGGGAAGAAAGAAACAAAUAUUCCUCUAAAAGUAUUAUGAUUAUCAUUCCUUAUGAGUUUUCAAGAGAAGCUGAUGUUCCUCCAAGUACUAAAGCUGAAAUUAUGAGUCUUGGAUUCCAAGCCUAGAGAAUAUUUUUGAAAGAGACAGUUGUAUAAUUUUUUACUUUUAGAAUGGAAAGUGGCUAAUUGGGUUAUGGAAUGUUUGGCCCAUCUUCACAUUGAGAAAUCUUAUUUAUCUUACUACAACUCUGCCACAUUCAAAGAAGGUAGAGAUAUCAGCGGAAUAGCAUCAUCUGAUGACUUCACUGAUUGGCCUGAAAAAUAUGAAAGAGGCACUUGGCUGCAACAGGGAAUCAUUGAUAUAAUCAUGCAUAAUAAAGUGAAAGACUUCAUCACAAGAUAGAACAUUCAGCACGAGGAGCUGCAAUACUUUAUGAGAAAGUAUACAUCAUCACUGGAACAAUAUUUCAUCAUGAAAGGUUUCAUCUACUAUAAACUGCAUUUCAAACUGCAUCUAUGAAGAAAAAGAAAUUCCUGUCCACCAUGUUAAAGAAUUCUGCCUCAUAGUACGUUAGAAAAUAAAAGAAUUGGCUCCUCACUUUGAAGCAGAAUGGCCCAGAAGAGUAGUUUCCAAACCAAUUUCCUGAGUAAGACCAUUGCCAUUAUCAAGGACAUAUAUGUUGAUCAACAUCUUUUUUUCACUUCAUUUCUGAAAUAAUCCUGUUAAAAAAAUGAAUGUUCUCUGCUAGGGUAACAUUGCUAAAUUUUUCGUGCUUUGUGUAAUAAGAUUUCUUUCCAAUAAUGAAUAUGAAGGUGUUAUUAUGGAAAGGGAUCAAAAUAUUUUAUUUUAUUUUUUAAGUAUGUAUUAUGCAGUAUUG
Molecule: long non-coding RNA, 1342 nt
Organism: Argiope bruennichi
Lineage: Eukaryota; Metazoa; Arthropoda; Arachnida; Araneae; Araneidae
Exons: 5
Source: RefSeq, a predicted model, not a curated record